CAGUCGCCGCGGUAAUACGGAGGGUGCAAGCGUUAUCCGGAUUUAUUGGGUUUAAAGGGUCCGUAGGCGGACUUAUAAGUCAGUGGUGAAAGCCUGUCGCUUAACGAUAGAACUGCCAUUGAUACUGUAAGUCUUGAGUAUAUUUGAGGUAGCUGGAAUAAGUAGUGUAGCGGUGAAAUGCAUAGAUAUUACUUAGAACACCAAUUGCGAAGGCAGGUUACCAAGAUAUAACUGACGCUGAGGGACGAAAGCGUGGGUAGCGAACAGGAUUAGAUACCCGAGUAGUCCCUGUCUCUUAUAA
RNAcentral lists this ribosomal RNA (301 nucleotides) under uncultured bacterium. RNAcentral's name for it is "partial 16S ribosomal RNA". It matches the Rfam family "Bacterial small subunit ribosomal RNA", at positions 509 to 809 of the family's 1533-position model. The record is from RNAcentral.